CUCAAAUUUGAAACCCUCGGGAUUGUAAUUUGAAGAUUUGGCAUUGGAGAAAGCUAACCCAAGUUGCUUGGAAUAGUACGUCAUAGAGGGUGACAACCCCGUCUGGCUAACCGUUCUCCAUGUAUUGCCUUAUCAAAGAGUCGAGUUGUUUGGGAAUGCAGCUCAAAGUGGGUGGUAAACUCCAUCUAAAGCUAAAUACUGGUGAGAGACCGAUAGCGAACAAGUACUGUGAAGGAAAGGUGAAAAGAACUUUGAAAAGAGAGUGAAAUAGUAUGUGAAAUUGUUGAUAGGGAAGGAAAUGAGUGGAGAGUGGCCGAGGUUUCAGCCGCCCCUCGUGGGCGGUGUACUGCCGACGCCGAGUCAUCGAUAGCGAGACGAGGGUUACAAAUGGGAGCGCCUUCGGGCGUUCUCCCCUAACCCUCCACACUGCCACCGACGAC
This 440-nucleotide ribosomal RNA is filed under the name Yarrowia lipolytica. Its description in RNAcentral is "eukaryotic LSU rRNA". It matches the Rfam family "Eukaryotic large subunit ribosomal RNA", at positions 108 to 510 of the family's 3401-position model. Lineage: Eukaryota; Fungi; Ascomycota; Dipodascomycetes; Dipodascales. The record is from RNAcentral.